GGGUUGUGAGGUUAAGCGACCAAGCGUACACGGUGGAUGCCCUGGCAGUCAGAGGCGAUGAAGGACGUGCUAAUCUGCGAAAAGCGCCGGUAAGGUGAUAUGAACCGUUAUAACCGGCGAUGUCCGAAUGGGGAAACCCAGUGUGACUCGUCACACUAUCAUUAACUGAAUCCAUAGGUUAAUGAGGCGAACCGGGGGAACUGAAACAUCUAAGUACCCCGAGGAAAAGAAAUCAACCGAGAUUCCCCCAGUAGCGGCGAGCGAACGGGGAGGAGCCCAGAGCCUGAAUCAGCAUGUGUGUUAGUGGAAGCGUCUGGAAAGGCGCGCGAUACAGGGUGACAGCCCCGUACACAAAAGCGCAUGUGCUGUGAGCUCGAUGAGUAGGGCGGGACACGUGGUAUCCUGUCUGAAUAUGGGGGGACCAUCCUCCAAGGCUAAAUACUCCUGACUGACCGAUAGUGAACCAGUACCGUGAGGGAAAGGCGAAAAGAACCCCGGCGAGGGGAGUGAAACAGAACCUGAAACCGUGUACGUACAAGCAGUGGGAGCAUGAGUUUACUCAUGUGACUGCGUACCUUUUGUAUAAUGGGUCAGCGACUUAUAUUCUGUAGCAAGGUUAACCGUAUAGGGGAGCCGGAGGGAAACCGAGUCUUAACCGGGCGUUAAGUUGCAGGGUAUAGACCCGAAACCCGGUGAUCUAGCCAUGGGCAGGUUGAAGGUUGGGUAACACUAACUGGAGGACCGAACCGACUAAUGUUGAAAAAUUAGCGGAUGACCUGUGGCUGGGGGUGAAAGGCCAAUCAAACCGGGAGAUAGCUGGUUCUCCCCGAAAGCUAUUUAGGUAGCGCCUCGUGAAUUCAUCUCCGGGGGUAGAGCACUGUUUCGGCCAGGGGGCCAUCCCGGCUUACCAACCCGAUGCAAACUGCGAAUACCGGAGAAUGUUAUCACGGGAGACACACGGCGGGUGCUAACGUCCGUCGUGAAGAGGGAAACAACCCAGACCGCCAGCUAAGGUCCCAAAGUCAUGGUUAAGUGGGAAACGAUGUGGGAAGGCCCAGACAGCCAGGAUGUUGGCUUAGAAGCAGCCAUCAUUUAAAGAAAGCGUAAUAGCUCACUGGUCGAGUCGGCCUGCGCGGAAGAUGUAACGGGGCUAAACCAUGCACCGAAGCUGCGGCAGCGACACUGUGUGUUGUUGGGUAGGGGAGCGUUCUGUAAGCCUGCGAAGGUGUGCUGUGAGGCAUGCUGGAGGUAUCAGAAGUGCGAAUGCUGACAUAAGUAACGAUAAUGCGGGUGAAAAACCCGCACGCCGGAAGACCAAGGGUUCCUGUCCAACGUUAAUCGGGGCAGGGUGAGUCGACCCCUAAGGCGAGGCCGAAAGGCGUAGUCGAUGGGAAACGGGUUAAUAUUCCCGUACCUGGUGUUACUGCGAAGGGGGGACGGAGAAGGCUAUGUUGGCCGGGCGACGGUUGUCCCGGUUUAAGCGUGCAGGCUGGUUUUCCAGGCAAAUCCGGAAAAUCAAGGCUGAGGCGUGACGACGAGGCACUACGGUGCUGAAGCAACAAAUGCCCUGCUUCCAGGAAAAGCCUCUAAGCCUCAGGUAACAUCAGAUCGUACCCGAAACCGACACAGGUGGUCAGGUAGAGAAUACCAAGGCGCUUGAGAGAACCCGGGUGAAGGAACUAGGCAAAAUGGUGCCGUAACUUCGGGAGAAGGCACGCUGACACGUAGGUGAAGCGGUUUACCCGUGGAGCUGAAGUCAGUCGAAGAUACCAGCUGGCUGCAACUGUUUAUUAAAAACACAGCACUGUGCAAACACGAAAGUGGACGUAUACGGUGUGACGCCUGCCCGGUGCCGGAAGGUUAAUUGAUGGGGUCAGCGCAAGCGAAGCUCCUGAUCGAAGCCCCGGUAAACGGCGGCCGUAACUAUAACGGUCCUAAGGUAGCGAAAUUCCUUGUCGGGUAAGUUCCGACCUGCACGAAUGGCGUAAUGAUGGCCAGGCUGUCUCCACCCGGGACUCAGUGAAAUUGAACUCGCUGUGAAGAUGCAGUGUACCCGCGGCAAGACGGAAAGACCCCGUGAACCUUUACUAUAGCUUGACACUGAACACUGGUCCUUGAUGUGCAGGAUAGGUGGGAGGCUUUGAAGUGUGGACGCCAGUCUGCAUGGAGCCGUCCUUGAAAUACCACCCUUUAAUGGCUGGUGUUCUAACGUAGACCCGUGAACCGGGUUGCGGACAGUGUCUGGUGGGUAGUUUGACUGGGGCGGUCUCCUCCUAAAGCGUAACGGAGGAGCACGAAGGUUGGCUAAUCCUGGUCGGACAUCAGGAGGUUAGUGCAAUGGCAUAAGCCAGCUUGACUGCGAGCGUGACGGCGCGAGCAGGUGCGAAAGCAGGUCAUAGUGAUCCGGUGGUUCUGAAUGGAAGGGCCAUCGCUCAACGGAUAAAAGGUACUCCGGGGAUAACAGGCUGAUACCGCCCAAGAGUUCAUAUCGACGGCGGUGUUUGGCACCUCGAUGUCGGCUCAUCACAUCCUGGGGCUGAAGUAGGUCCCAAGGGUAUGGCUGUUCGCCAUUUAAAGUGGUACGCGAGCUGGGUUUAGAACGUCGUGAGACAGUUCGGUCCCUAUCUGCCGUGGGCGCUGGAGAACUGAGGGGGGCUGCUCCUAGUACGAGAGGACCGGAGUGGACGCAUCACUGGUGUUCGGGUUGUCAUGCCAAUGGCACUGCCCGGUAGCUAAAUGCGGAAGAGAUAAGUGCUGAAAGCAUCUAAGCACGAAACUUGCCCCGAGAUGAGUUCUCCCUGAGACUACAAGUCUCCUGAAGGAACGUUGAAGACGACGACGUUGAUAGGCCGGGUGUGUAAGCGCAGCGAUGCGUUGAGCUAACCGGUACUAAUGAACCGUGAGGCUUAACCUUACAACGCCGAAG
Molecule: ribosomal RNA, 2926 nt
Filed under: Salmonella enterica subsp. enterica
Lineage: Bacteria; Pseudomonadati; Pseudomonadota; Gammaproteobacteria; Enterobacterales; Enterobacteriaceae
Also listed under: 1 other name
Description: bacterial LSU rRNA
Rfam family: Bacterial large subunit ribosomal RNA
Source: RNAcentral